This 433-nucleotide ribosomal RNA is filed under the name uncultured bacterium. Its description in RNAcentral is "partial 16S ribosomal RNA". It matches the Rfam family "Bacterial small subunit ribosomal RNA", at positions 29 to 507 of the family's 1533-position model. The record is from RNAcentral.
AAUGAACGCUGGCGGCAUGCCUAACACAUGCAAGUCGAACGAAGGCUUCGGCCUUAGUGGCGCACGGGUGCGUAACGCGUGGGAAUCUGCCCUUGGGUUCGGAAUAACAGUUAGAAAUGACUGCUAAUACCGGAUGAUGUCGUAAGACCAAAGAUUUAUCGCCCAAGGAUGAGCCCGCGUAGGAUUAGCUAGUUGGUGGGGAAAAGGCCUACCAAGGCGACGAUCCUUAGCUGGUCUGAGAGGAUGAUCAGCCACACUGGGACUGAGACACGGCCCAGACUCCUACGGGAGGCAGCAGUGGGGAAUAUUGGACAAUGGGCGAAAGCCUGAUCCAGCAAUGCCGCGUGAGUGAUGAAGGCCUUAGGGUUGUAAAGCUCUUUUACCCGGGAUGAUAAUGACAGUACCGGGAGAAUAAGCUCCGGCUAACUUCGUG